GCACAACGCGAAGAACCUUACCACCUUUUGACAUGCCUGGACCGCCACAGAGAUGUGGCUUUCCCUUCGGGGGACUGGGACACAGGUGCUGCAUGGCUGUCGUCAGCUCGUGUCGUGAGAUGUUGGGUUAAAGUCCCGCAACGAGCGCAACCCGUCGCCAUUAGUUGCCAUCAUUCAGUUGGGAACUCUAAUGGGUACUGCCGGAGCUAAUCCGGAGGAAGGCGGGGUAUGACGUCAAGUCCUCAUGGCCCUUACGGGGUUGGGCUACACACGUGCUACAAUGGCGACUACAGAGGGUUUAAACUCCUUAAAACGUCGUCUCAGUUCGGAUUGUCCUCUGCAACUCGAGGGUCAUGAAGUUGGAAUCGCUAGUAAUCGCGGAUCAGCAUGCCGCGGUUGAACUAC
RNAcentral lists this ribosomal RNA (405 nucleotides) under uncultured bacterium. Its description in RNAcentral is "bacterial SSU rRNA". It matches the Rfam family "Bacterial small subunit ribosomal RNA", at positions 954 to 1363 of the family's 1533-position model. The record is from RNAcentral.